UUGUUUUUUUAGUCAUGUUCCUCUUCAUUCUUUGUAUUCCUUUAUAGGUCACCAAUCGGACCCAUAGAUUCUCUAUUUUUUUUUUAAGGGAAAGUAUACAUUGCCUCACACUUUUGAAUUUUGAGAUUUCAAUAUAGCGGAUAAAAGUAAAAACUUUUUCUGUUCAAUCUCAAGUAUUUUAUUUUUGUAGG
RNAcentral lists this small RNA (191 nucleotides) under Arabidopsis thaliana (thale cress). Its description in RNAcentral is "ATSL115080". Lineage: Eukaryota; Viridiplantae; Streptophyta; Magnoliopsida; Brassicales; Brassicaceae. The record is from RNAcentral.